GACGAACGCUGGUGGCGUGCUUAACACAUGCAAGUCGAACGGAAAGGCCCUGCUUUUGUGGGGUGCUCGAGUGGCGAACGGGUGAGUAACACGUGAGUAACCUGCCCUUGACUUUGGGAUAACUUCAGGAAACUGGGGCUAAUACCGGAUAGGAGCUCCUGCUGCAUGGUGGGGGUUGGAAAGUUUCGGCGGUUGGGGAUGGACUCGCGGCUUAUCAGCUUGUUGGUGGGGUAGUGGCUUACCAAGGCUUUGACGGGUAGCCGGCCUGAGAGGGUGACCGGCCACAUUGGGACUGAGAUACGGCCCAGACUCCUACGGGAGGCAGCAGUGGGGAAUAUUGCACAAUGGGCGGAAGCCUGAUGCAGCAACGCCGCGUGCGGGAUGACGGUCUUCGGGUUGUAAACCGCUUUCGCCUGUGACGAAGCGUGAGUGACGGUAAUGGGUAAAGAAGCACCGGCUAACUACGUG
RNAcentral lists this ribosomal RNA (468 nucleotides) under uncultured bacterium. Its description in RNAcentral is "partial 16S ribosomal RNA". It matches the Rfam family "Bacterial small subunit ribosomal RNA", at positions 28 to 507 of the family's 1533-position model. The record is from RNAcentral.